RNAcentral lists this unclassified non-coding RNA (345 nucleotides) under soil metagenome. Its description in RNAcentral is "partial contains 5.8S ribosomal RNA, internal transcribed spacer 2, and large subunit ribosomal RNA". The stretch from base 1 to 120 matches the Rfam family "5.8S ribosomal RNA", at positions 35 to 154 of the family's 154-position model. The record is from RNAcentral.
GAUGAAGAACGUAGCGAAAUGCGAUACGUACUGUGAAUUGCAGAAUUCAGUGAAUCAUCGAGUCUUUGAACGCACAUUGCGCCCCCUGGUAUUCCGGGGGGCAUGCCUGUCCGAGCGUCAUUGCUGCCCUCAAGCACGGCUUGUGUGUUGGGCCUCCGUCCUCCUCCCGGGGGACGGGCCCGAAAGGCAGCGGCGGCACCGCGUCCGGUCCUCGAGCGUAUGGGGCUUCGUCACCCGCUCUUGUAGGCCCGGCCGGCGCUUGCCGACACAUCAAUCUUUUUUCCAGGUUGACCUCGGAUCAGGUAGGGCUACCCGCUGGACUUAAGCAUAGCAAUAAGCGGAGGA